This 253-nucleotide ribosomal RNA is filed under the name uncultured bacterium. Its description in RNAcentral is "partial 16S ribosomal RNA". It matches the Rfam family "Bacterial small subunit ribosomal RNA", at positions 524 to 776 of the family's 1533-position model. The record is from RNAcentral.
UACAGGGGGGGCAAGCGUUGUUCGGAAUUACUGGGCGUAAAGGGCCAGUAGGCGGCCAACUAAGUCAGACGUGAAAUCCCUCGGCUUAACCGGGGAACUGCGUCUGAUACUGGAUGGCUUGAGGUUGGGAGAGGGAUGCGGAAUUCCAGGUGUAGCGGUGAAAUGCGUAGAUAUCUGGAGGAACACCGGUGGCGAAGGCGGCAUCCUGGACCAAUUCUGACGCUGAGGAGCGAAAGCCAGGGGAGCAAACGGG